GUGGGGAAUUUUGGACAAUGGGGGCAACCCUGAUCCAGCCAUUCCGCGUGAGUGAAGAAGGCCUUCGGGUUGUAAAGCUCUUUCGGCAGGAACGAAACGGUGAGCUCUAACAUAGCUCGCUAAUGACGGUACCUGAAGAAGAAGCACCGGCUAACUACGUGCCAGCAGCCGCGGUAAUACGUAGGGUGCGAGCGUUAAUCGGAAUUACUGGGCGUAAAGCGUGCGCAGGCGGUUGUGUAAGACAGGUGUGAAAUCCCCGGGCUUAACCUGGGAACUGCGCUUGUGACUGCACGGCUAGAGUAUGGCAGAGGGGGGUGGAAUUCCACGUGUAGCAGUGAAAUGCGUAGAGAUGUGGAGGAACACCGAUGGCGAAGGCAGCCCCCUGGGCCAAUACUGACGCUCAUGCACGAAAGCGUGGGGAGCAAACAGGAUUAGAAACCCCUGUAGUCC
Molecule: ribosomal RNA, 450 nt
Filed under: uncultured bacterium
Lineage: Bacteria
Description: partial 16S ribosomal RNA
Rfam family: Bacterial small subunit ribosomal RNA
Source: RNAcentral